GGGUCUGGGUGCGCGAGCGUUUGUGCUCUGCUGGCAGCCUGUGUGGGGUGACCGCCCCGUUAGCGGGGUGUGGGUCGAGGUGCCCCGGACUGGGAGAGAAGGAGCCUCUCCCGGCCGUAGGGAUGGGGGCUGCCCUGUAAGUCAGGGAGCAACCGUGCCCCGGAGUCCCAGGCCCUUUGCGUUGGAGGCAGUGGCUGGGGGCCCCCUGUAAGCAGGGAAGCUGGCUCUUUGGCCGCUGCUUUUUGUACGCCCAGCCCCAUUUGCCCAGCCUGUCCGCCUCUGUGAUCCCCCGCAGCACCGGCUGGAAGUCCGCCGCGCGUCAGUGAGGAGCUGCUGCAGAAGAAAGAAGAAGCAGCAGCGUGGGGACCUGGGCUUCAAAUCAAGAAAAAUCAACCUACGGUUGAGGAACAAUGUGAAGGUGAAGCCAGGUUUGCUGGAUGAGAUUUGUCUCGUGGCUAUUCAACUACCUGGGCUCUCCCUCUUCUGCACAGGACAGGAAGAGAAAUCAAGAUGGAACAGCUGGUGGGAGAUGGCCUACCUGGCUAGUGUUAAAGGAAACAGAGUUUGGACUUUGGGAAAAUUGAUUUCACUUAUUCUGGGUAAUCCUGAAUGCUGCUAUGCUUUUCUCUGAUUUUGAAUUAAUAGGAAUCAGAUAUAUGCUCUUGCUGAUUUGAUGGAACUUAAAUAAAUUCACGUGGUGAGGAGAGGCAAAGAUCUUUUUGUGGUUACACGAGGAUUUCCCUCAAUGAGGUUUAUUUACAGCAACGGAUUCCACAGUGCCUUACCCAACUUGUAGAGAGGGUAAUAUCACACAGUUUUGCAGCCUCAUCUGAAAUCUCACCAUAGAAAGAGUUCAUGAGCUUAUUUUUCUUGAAAUACGUGGUUCUUUUGUGAUCUCAUCUUUAUUGUAUUAGCACUGAUUACUCGCUUCUGAAAAUGUAUCUAUCGCACAGUCCUGCUUUGACUGAGGCCUCUCUAUGGCAGUCAGUCUUUAGUGCGUUACUUUUCUGUUUCUCUCUGUUUAACUUCUGAGUGCAUUAACACCAAGAGCUUGAGACAAAGCUAGUGUAACGUAAUCUACUUGUUAUUUUGCCCUGUUGGCACCACAGAAAGAAGGGAGAAGAGUUGCUGUAGGAAAGUCUUGCAGCUGUAACUUUUCCAUGUAACACUGAGUGUUUUUCUGUGACAAGAAUUACAUUUUCCACUGAGGAGGCCCAAGACCAGGUGGCAACAUGUAAACUCUUGUAACUUCCUUGUUUGUGUUUUCAGUCUGGUUCUAAAGCAGAAUAAACCCCAUUGCCUGCUGGAUAUGCCUUCUGAGCACUGUGAGGAAAAAAUCCUCUGUUAUUUUUGAGCCAAAUAAGUGACAAUGACCCCUGGACCCCAAGACCUUUCCUGACAUUAGAAGGCUUCUCCUAUCAGCAAAUGAAGUCACGACCUAACCUAGUGACCGGUAGCUGACUUUGUAUUUGUGUUGGUUGCUCUGAAAGUAAUGC
Molecule: long non-coding RNA, 1496 nt
Filed under: Gallus gallus (chicken)
Lineage: Eukaryota; Metazoa; Chordata; Aves; Galliformes; Phasianidae
Description: lncRNA (ENSGALG00010023525.1)
Source: RNAcentral